Molecule: long non-coding RNA, 960 nt
Organism: Marmota flaviventris (yellow-bellied marmot)
Lineage: Eukaryota; Metazoa; Chordata; Mammalia; Rodentia; Sciuridae
Source: RefSeq, a predicted model, not a curated record
GGGAGGGUACUGAAGAGAUGCUCAGAAGCUUGGACGCUGCAGAAGCAAGAGGUCACUGGAAGUUUUAAGCAGGGAGGUGCUGGACAUCAGGAAGACCCAGACCUCCCUCGGCUCAGGUGGCCAAUCUCUAAUAGUCAACAAUGGCUCUCAUCUGCGGAGCACUCACUGUGUGCUGAGCAUAGUCUAAGCUCCUUGCCUGUGUGGAAUCCUUUCAUCUUCACGAGAGCCCCAGGAGGAAGUGCUCCCUGUCUUUGAGAUGGUGGCUUGAUACACAGGGCUCAAAACUGAAUAAAUAUUGCUGAGGACGCCAGGGUAUUAUCACUCCACUGUGCACAUCAUGCCUGAACACAGAGUCUUUGAAUUUCUUGGCAUCUCUGAGAUGAGUCAUGCAUUUUAUAGAAAUUGCAAGAUGGUUGAGUUGCAUGAGGCCAGAAAGCAAGCUCAGAAAUACCACGAAUCCAGCACCUGGAGGCUGCCAGAACCUCCUGGCCUGCUGCCUUUCUCUCCUCCCUCACUGUACCAGGUAUAAACAUUAGUAGCAGAGAGAAGUGAUGACCCCUUGAGAGGAAAUGUGAUUGAAGCCAAAAGCUGGAUCUUACCUCUAAAGGGACUCGCUCGUGCUAGUCAAGCGCUCUACUGCUGCCACAACCCCAGCCCCUCCACAGAGUUUUACAGUCUAAUCUUCAGGAUAAAGUUGUGAUCAAGUAACUGAUAAGCUCGAGUUCUGGACCCCCAAAAGACCGCCAGAGAACAAGAUCCAUAAGCUGAGAAAUAGGUCAGGACUUGGGUUGUGAAGAGGCUCCCUGCACCAAUGACUAGAACCAGGAGCAGUUUCAUUUAGUGGCAAGAUACUUCAUUGUUCUUGGCUCUCUGUCUCUGGCCCUGACAGUUUAUAGCAACAAGGGAAGUCAUCAACUAAUUUGUGUGCUGUAUCUGAAUAAACGUUUCUUAUGAUCAUGA